RNAcentral lists this ribosomal RNA (253 nucleotides) under uncultured prokaryote. RNAcentral's name for it is "partial 16S ribosomal RNA". It matches the Rfam family "Bacterial small subunit ribosomal RNA", at positions 524 to 776 of the family's 1533-position model. The record is from RNAcentral.
UACGUAGGUGGCAAGCGUUGUCCGGAUUUACUGGGCGUAAAGCGUGCGCAGGCGGAUGGUUAAGUAAGAAGUGAAAGGUCGGAGCUCAACUCCAACACUGCUCCUUAUACUGGCCAUCUUGAGUAGCGGAGAGGAAGGGGGAACGACACGUGUAGCGGUGAAAUGCGUUGAUAUGUGUCGGAACACCCAUGGCGAAAGCACCCUUCUGGACGCAAACUGACGCUCAUGCACGAAAGCCAAGGGAGCGAACAGG